Molecule: ribosomal RNA, 119 nt
Organism: Dipodomys ordii (Ord's kangaroo rat)
Lineage: Eukaryota; Metazoa; Chordata; Mammalia; Rodentia; Heteromyidae
Source: Ensembl
GCCUUUGGCCAUACUACAUUGAAUGUGCUUGAUCUCAUCGGCUCUAGGAAACUGAGCCGGCUCAGCCUGCUUAGUACUUAGAUAGGGAGUCUGCUUAGGAAUAUCCGGUGCUGUAGGUU